This 400-nucleotide ribosomal RNA is filed under the name uncultured bacterium. Its description in RNAcentral is "partial 16S ribosomal RNA". It matches the Rfam family "Bacterial small subunit ribosomal RNA", at positions 360 to 774 of the family's 1533-position model. The record is from RNAcentral.
AAUAUUUGGAAAUGGGCGCAAGCCUGACCCAGCAACGCCGCGUGAGGGAAGAAGGUUUUCGGAUUGUCCACCUCUGUCCUUGGAGACAAAACAAAUGACGGUAGCCAAGGAGGAAGCCCCGGAUAACUACGUGCCAGCAGCCGCGGUAAUACGUAGGGGGCGACCGUUGUCCGGAAUUACUGGGCGUAAAGGGUGCGUAGGCGGUUGUUUAAGUUGGAUGUGAAAUACCCGGGCUUAACCUGGGGGGUGCAUUCAAAACUGGGCAACUAGAGUAUGGGAGAGGGAAGCGGAAUUCCUAGUGUAGCGGUGAAAUGCAUAGAUAUUAGGAGGAACACCAGUGGCGAAGGCGGCUUUCUGGACCAUAACUGACGCUGAAGCACGAAAGCGUGGGGAGCAAACA